Molecule: unclassified non-coding RNA, 293 nt
Filed under: uncultured fungus
Lineage: Eukaryota; Fungi
Description: partial contains 5.8S rRNA, ITS2 and 28S rRNA
Rfam family: Eukaryotic large subunit ribosomal RNA
Source: RNAcentral
AAGGAGUCGAACAUCUAUGCGAGUGUUCGGGUGUCAAACCCCUACGCGUAAUGAAAGCGAACGGAGGUGAGAGCCUCCUGAGGGGAGCAUCAUCGACCGAUCCUGAUGUCUUCGGAGGGAUUUGAGUAAGAGCGUAGCUGUGGGGACCCGAAAGAUGGUGAACUACGCCUGAAUAGGGUGAAGCCAGAGGAAACUCUGGUGGAGGCUCGCAGCGGUUCUGACGUGCAAAUCGAUCGUCAAAUUUGGGUAUAGGGGCGAAAGACUAAUCGAACCAUCUGGUAGCUGGUUCCUGC